GCAAGUCGAGCGGAAACGAGAAGUAGCUUGCUACUUCGGCGUCGAGCGGCGGACGGGUGAGUAAUGCCUAGGAAAUUGCCUUGAUGUGGGGGAUAACCAUUGGAAACGAUGGCUAAUACCGCAUAAUGCCUACGGGCCAAAGAGGGGGGCCUUCGGGCCUCUCGCGUCAAGAUAUGCCUAGGUGGGAUUAGCUAGUUGGUGAGGUAAUGGCUCACCAAGGCGACGAUCCCUAGCUGGUCUGAGAGGAUGAUC
This 252-nucleotide ribosomal RNA is filed under the name uncultured bacterium. Its description in RNAcentral is "partial 16S ribosomal RNA". It matches the Rfam family "Bacterial small subunit ribosomal RNA", at positions 57 to 305 of the family's 1533-position model. The record is from RNAcentral.